UAGAUGGUGAAGAUCUUUGGAAAUGAAUUCAUGUCGGAGAUAAUGCACUUUUGAACUCUGGCAUGGGAAAAUCACUUGGCAAGGCCCUGCCCUAUUCUCAACACUGGACAGGGAAGGAGCUACUCACCAAGUUCAGCCUCACCACUAAUUCCAGCCAUGGCUCUGGUGAUCAGUUA
Molecule: long non-coding RNA, 176 nt
Filed under: Canis lupus familiaris (dog)
Lineage: Eukaryota; Metazoa; Chordata; Mammalia; Carnivora; Canidae
Description: lncRNA (ENSCAFG00030018156.1)
Source: RNAcentral